RNAcentral lists this ribosomal RNA (163 nucleotides) under Anemopsis californica. RNAcentral's name for it is "5.8S ribosomal RNA". It matches the Rfam family "5.8S ribosomal RNA". From Rfam's summary of the family: 5.8S ribosomal RNA (5.8S rRNA) is a component of the large subunit of the eukaryotic ribosome. It is transcribed by RNA polymerase I as part of the 45S precursor that also contains 18S and 28S rRNA. The record is from RNAcentral. Lineage: Eukaryota; Viridiplantae; Streptophyta; Magnoliopsida; Piperales; Saururaceae.
AAUACGACUCUUGGCGAUGGAUAUCUCAGCACUCGCAUCGAUGAAGAACGUAGCAAAAUGCGAUACUUGCUGUGAAUUUCAAAAUCCCGUGAACCAUCGAGUUUUUGAAUGCAAGUUGCGCCUGAGACCUUUAGGUCGAGGGUACAUCUGCUUGGGCAUCAAA